Molecule: ribosomal RNA, 498 nt
Filed under: uncultured bacterium
Lineage: Bacteria
Description: partial 16S ribosomal RNA
Rfam family: Bacterial small subunit ribosomal RNA
Source: RNAcentral
GAUGAACGCUGGCGGCGUGCCUAAUACAUGCAAGUCGAGCGAACGGACGAGAAGCUUGCUUCUCUGAUGUUAGCGGCGGACGGGUGAGUAACACGUGGAUAACCUACCUAUAAGACUGGGAUAACUUCGGGAAACCGGAGCUAAUACCGGAUAAUAUUUUGAACCGCAUGGUUCAAAAGUGAAAGACGGUCUUGCUGUCACUUAUAGAUGGAUCCGCGCUGCAUUAGCUAGUUGGUAAGGUAACGGCUUACCAAGGCAACGAUGCAUAGCCGACCUGAGAGGGGGGGCGCCCCACACGGGACAGGCGCCCGCACCGAGAGCCUGAGGGGGGGCGCCGGAGGGGAUCCUCCCGAAUGGGCAAAAGCCCGGAGGGGCCACCCCCGGGGGGUGAAUAAGUGUCUAGGGAGCUAAAACUUUUUUUAUGGGAGAAAAACAUUUUGUAACGUCACGUCGCACACCUGGAGGCUCCCUAAUAGAAGGCCCCGGACACACUCGGCC